RNAcentral lists this ribosomal RNA (529 nucleotides) under uncultured organism. Its description in RNAcentral is "SSU rRNA". It matches the Rfam family "Bacterial small subunit ribosomal RNA", at positions 505 to 1033 of the family's 1533-position model. The record is from RNAcentral.
GUGCCAGCAGCCGCGGUAAUACGUAGGGUCCGAGCGUUGUCCGGAAUUACUGGGCGUAAAGAGCUCGUAGGUGGUUUGUCGCGUUGUUCGUGAAAACUCACAGCUUAACUGUGGGCGUGCGGGCGAUACGGGCAGACUAGAGUACUGCAGGGGAGACUGGAAUUCCUGGUGUAGCGGUGGAAUGCGCAGAUAUCAGGAGGAACACCGGUGGCGAAGGCGGGUCUCUGGGCAGUAACUGACGCUGAGGAGCGAAAGCGUGGGUAGCGAACAGGAUUAGAUACCCUGGUAGUCCACGCCGUAAACGGUGGGUACUAGGUGUGGGUUUCCUUCCUUGGGAUCCGUGCCGUAGCUAACGCAUUAAGUACCCCGCCUGGGGAGUACGGUCGCAAGACUAAAACUCAAAGGAAUUGACGGGGGCCCGCACAAGCGGCGGAGCAUGUGGAUUAACUUCGAUGCAACGCGAAGAACCUUACCUGGGUUUGACAUGCACAGGACGUACCUAGAAUAGGUAUUCCCUUGUGGCCUGUGU